GAAUUUUAUAUAGUUAUUAAAAUUAAUUUUAUUUAAUAAAAUAAUUUUAAUUUAUAUUUGAUUGGGAGGAUUAUUAAAUUUUUAAAACUUUAAUUUAAAAAAUUUUACAUAAAUUAAUGAAUAUAAAAAAUUAAUUAAAGUAAAUUUGUAUGGAAAAAUUAAUUGCCUUAGGGAUAACAGCGUAAUAUUUUUAGAGAGAUCUUAUUAAUAAAAAUGUUUGC
RNAcentral lists this ribosomal RNA (221 nucleotides) under Gnamptogenys tortuolosa. RNAcentral's name for it is "partial large subunit ribosomal RNA". Lineage: Eukaryota; Metazoa; Arthropoda; Insecta; Hymenoptera; Formicidae. The record is from RNAcentral.